Molecule: long non-coding RNA, 370 nt
Organism: Gallus gallus (chicken)
Lineage: Eukaryota; Metazoa; Chordata; Aves; Galliformes; Phasianidae
Exons: 2
Source: RefSeq, a predicted model, not a curated record
AACUUUUUUGAAAGUCUGUAAUGAAAGUUGCAUUUUUGCUUACACGUAGCCGCUUUGACCCACGGUGAAUGGAAGUCAUAAAGCAGGGUAUAAAGGGAGUUUCUAAAUUGCCUGUUGUUGAGGCCAUUGAAGGCAACAGGAGAGUUCAGAAUGUGACCUUUGAGAGCAAAUUUGCCUCUGCUUCUUACUGAAUUUUGUGUUGCGUUUUUCUGUAUAUAUAUUUUUUUGACUCAGAAAUACAAAUUAUAAUGAAGAAUCACAGGAGCUAAAAUAGUCUGAAAAAGAAGAGUCCAAAUCCUUGCCUUUGGAAGGCCCAGCUCGUUACCCAACUCCUGAGCAAAGAAAAAGAAUAAAGGCUUCAGUCACCACA